GAUGAACGCUGGCGGCGUGCCUAAUACAUGCAAGUCGAGCGAACAGAUGAGGAGCUUGCUCCUCUGACGUUAGCGGCGGACGGGUGAGUAACACGUGGAUAACCUACCUAUAAGACUGGGAUAACUUCGGGAAACCGGAGCUAAUACCGGAUAAUAUAUUGAACCGCAUGGUUCAAUAGUGAAAGACGGUUUUGCUGUCACUUAUAGAUGGAUCCGCGCCGCAUUAGCUAGUUGGUAAGGUAACGGCUUACCAAGGCAACGAUGCGUAGCCGACCUGAGAGAGUGAUCGGCCACACUGGAACUGAGACACGGUCCAGACUCCUACGGGAGGCAGCAGUAGGGAAUCUUCCGCAAUGGGCGAAGGCCUGACGGAGCAACGCCGCGUGAGUGAUGAAGGUCUUCGGAUCGUAAAACUCUGUUAUUAGGGAAGAACAAAUGUGUAAGUAACUAUGCACGUCUUGACGGUACCUAAUCAGAAAGCCACGGCUAACUACGUG
This 497-nucleotide ribosomal RNA is filed under the name uncultured bacterium. Its description in RNAcentral is "partial 16S ribosomal RNA". It matches the Rfam family "Bacterial small subunit ribosomal RNA", at positions 28 to 507 of the family's 1533-position model. The record is from RNAcentral.